UUCUAGCUGCUUUUAGCCACAUAGGUUAGUUUUAGAAUUCAUAAGUUGCUUGUUGGAAAUUGAGUGAAUUGAGUUGUGUCAAUGAAAUCUACUAUUGAAAUUCUUAGAGUUCAAGUUGGAAUUCUCUUGUCAAACUUCUUUUAUGGUGGUGAAAGUUCUGUUGAGAUCAGUCUUUGUCUGUUGGAUCAGUGUUUUGUGAUUUUAAUUCAAUCUAUGAAUUGUUGGUUGGGCCAUGUUUGGAAGUAAAUCAUGCAUUGUACACCAGUUAUCAUUGUGCUAGGACUGAGAAGUUCUUAAGCUUGUUUGUCGAAAUUUUGCCACUAUUUAUGGAAAAGUUUCUGGAGUAAAUUGAUAGCUGAAUAUCUCCUAGCUUGAACCUUGUUACCAUUGGUUUCCAGAGAUUGUCAUUGAGUUUAAUAGAGGGGAUUCAGUUGGACUAGAGAUCGAGCAGCUUUAAUUGUGAUUUUGUUGAGCAUACGGUAAGCUUAAUCUACCGAAAAUUGGUGUCUUUUGAGAUUGUGCUCGAGUUUAGCAGUGAUAGCUUGAAAUGUGGUUUCUACUCCUAAAAUGCUCUCCUUGUUGAAUUGAAUGCUCUUGUUACAUAAACUAUUGUCCUG
Molecule: long non-coding RNA, 617 nt
Filed under: Nicotiana benthamiana
Lineage: Eukaryota; Viridiplantae; Streptophyta; Magnoliopsida; Solanales; Solanaceae
Description: long non-coding RNA (NBEN_LNC007384)
Source: RNAcentral